Molecule: ribosomal RNA, 579 nt
Filed under: Suhomyces xylopsoci
Lineage: Eukaryota; Fungi; Ascomycota; Pichiomycetes; Serinales; Debaryomycetaceae
Description: partial large subunit ribosomal RNA
Rfam family: Eukaryotic large subunit ribosomal RNA
Source: RNAcentral
ACGGGAUGCCUCGUACGGCGAGUGAAGCGGCAAAAGCUCAAAUUUGAAAUCUGGCCCUUGCGGGUCCGAGUUGUAAUUUGAAGAAGCGACUUUGGUGUGGGCUCUUGUCUAUGUUCCUUGGAACAGGACGUCACAGAGGGUGAGAAUCCCGUGCGAUGAGAUGCCCAUUGCCGUGUAAAGCGUUUUCGACGAGUCGAGUUGUUUGGGAAUGCAGCUCUAAGUGGGUGGUAAAUUCCAUCUAAAGCUAAAUAUUGGCGAGAGACCGAUAGCGAACAAGUACAGUGAUGGAAAGAUGAAAAGAACUUUGAAAAGAGAGUGAAAAAGUACGUGAAAUUGUUGAAAGGGAAGGGCUUGAGAUCAGACUUUGUUUUUCCAUGGUGUUCUCUCGGGGACGCCCUCUGGGUCUACAGGGCCAGCAUGGGUUUUGCGGGCGAGACAAUAGCAUAGGAAUGUGGCUCUGCUUCGGUGGAGUGUUAUAGCCUGUGUUGAUGUCGCCACGCGGGACCGAGGACUGCGGUACUAGGAUGCUGGCAUAAUGAUCUUAAGCCGCCCGUCUUGAACCACCGGACCAAAAAAAUU